This 439-nucleotide ribosomal RNA is filed under the name uncultured bacterium. Its description in RNAcentral is "partial 16S ribosomal RNA". It matches the Rfam family "Bacterial small subunit ribosomal RNA", at positions 339 to 795 of the family's 1533-position model. The record is from RNAcentral.
CUACGGGGGGCUCCAGUGGGGAACUUUGCGCAAUGGGGGAAACCCUGACGCAGCAAUACCGCGUGAGUGAAGAAGGCCUUUGGGUCGUAAAGCUCUUUUCUUGGGGAAGAUAGUGACGGUACCCAAGGAAUAAGCACCGGCUAACUCCGUGCCAGCAGCCGCGGUAAUACGGAGGGUGCAAGCGUUGUUCGGAUUUACUGGGCGUAAAGGGCACGUAGGCGGCACAGCAAGUUAAGGGUGAAAUCCCGGGGCUCAACUCCGGAACUGCUCUUAAAACUGCUGAGCUAGAGAUAGUCAGAGGCGGGUGGAAUUCCAGGUGUAGAGGUGAAAUUCGUAGAUAUCUGGAGGAACACCGGUAGCGAAGGCGGCCCGCUGGGGCUAUUCUGACGCUAAGGUGCGAAAGCGUGGGGAGCAAACGGGAUUAGAUACCCGCGUAGUC